Molecule: ribosomal RNA, 837 nt
Filed under: Streptomyces sp. IM-7082
Lineage: Bacteria; Bacillati; Actinomycetota; Actinomycetes; Kitasatosporales; Streptomycetaceae
Description: bacterial SSU rRNA
Rfam family: Bacterial small subunit ribosomal RNA
Source: RNAcentral
GGCGGCGUGCUUAACACAUGCAAGUCGAACGAUGAAGCCGCUUCGGUGUGGAUUAGUGGCGAACGGGUGAGUAACACGUGGGCAAUCUGCCCUUCACUCUGGGACAAGCCCUGGAAACGGGGUCUAAUACCGGAUACCACUCCGUCCCGCAUGGGACGGGGUUGAAAGCUCCGGCGGUGAAGGAUGAGCCCGCGGCCUAUCAGCUUGUUGGUGGGGUGAUGGCCUACCAAGGCGACGACGGGUAGCCGGCCUGAGAGGGCGACCGGCCACACUGGGACUGAGACACGGCCCAGACUCCUACGGGAGGCAGCAGUGGGGAAUAUUGCACAAUGGGCGAAAGCCUGAUGCAGCGACGCCGCGUGAGGGAUGACGGCCUUCGGGUUGUAAACCUCUUUCAGCAGGGAAGAAGCGAAAGUGACGGUACCUGCAGAAGAAGCGCCGGCUAACUACGUGCCAGCAGCCGCGGUAAUACGUAGGGCGCAAGCGUUGUCCGGAAUUAUUGGGCGUAAAGAGCUCGUAGGCGGCUUGUCGCGUCGGUUGUGAAAGCCCGGGGCUUAACCCCGGGUCUGCAGUCGAUACGGGCAGGCUAGAGUGUGGUAGGGGAGAUCGGAAUUCCUGGUGUAGCGGUGAAAUGCGCAGAUAUCAGGAGGAACACCGGUGGCGAAGGCGGAUCUCUGGGCCAUUACUGACGCUGAGGAGCGAAAGCGUGGGGAGCGAACAGGAUUAGAUACCCUGGUAGUCCACGCCGUAAACGUUGGGAACUAGGUGUUGGCGACAUUCCACGUCGUCGGUGCCGCAGCUAACGCAUUAAGUUCCCCGCCUGGGGAGUACGGCCGC